This 271-nucleotide long non-coding RNA is filed under the name Elaeis guineensis (African oil palm). RNAcentral's name for it is "long non-coding RNA (EGUI_LNC065611)". Lineage: Eukaryota; Viridiplantae; Streptophyta; Magnoliopsida; Arecales; Arecaceae. The record is from RNAcentral.
GGGGCUCCUCUAAUUUUUUGAAACAUCCACAAGAACGUUGUAAUAGGAGAACAAGUCUUUUUUGAAUUGGAUCCAAUAAAUAGGGGGUGGUAUGUUUUACAACUAAAUACAUUUGUAUGGAUUUGAAGGUACAAAAAUAUAGCUGAGCUGAGGAGAGCAAUUGGAGAGUACCAGAUCAGGAUCAUUUGAUCAAAUUAUGAAAAGGAGCUUGUACAUACCCACCAUAGACUCUGGAUAUGACCACUAUCAUAGGCCUUUAAAAAUUAUUUGG